UGACAGCACAGUGUGACCAAAGGGAUG
Molecule: non-coding RNA, 27 nt
Filed under: Rattus norvegicus (Norway rat)
Lineage: Eukaryota; Metazoa; Chordata; Mammalia; Rodentia; Muridae
Source: RNAcentral